GAAACCCGUCCGCCGGAUGAUCAAGGGUUCCAGGGUCAAGCUAAUCUGCCCUGGGUGAGUCGGGACCUAAGGCGAGGCCGACAGGCGUAGUCGAUGGAUAACCAGUUGAUAUUCUGGUACCCGUAUGUCCGCGCCCAUGAUAAAGCACUGAUACUAACCACCGCGGAUAUGAUUGAUGUGUUCUUUGAGCACGUUGGUUGUUGAUGUCGUGGGGCCUGAUGUGUGGUUCAAGUGAUGGGGUGACACAGAGUAGUAGCCAUGCCGCUUAGUGGAUUGUUGGUGUAAGCGUGUGAGGUGGUGUGUAGGUAAAUCCGCACACCGUAUAGCCUGAGGCG
Molecule: ribosomal RNA, 335 nt
Filed under: Anophryoides haemophila
Lineage: Eukaryota; Ciliophora; Oligohymenophorea; Philasterida; Glauconematidae
Description: partial Bacterial large subunit ribosomal RNA
Rfam family: Bacterial large subunit ribosomal RNA
Source: RNAcentral